GAUGAACGCUGGCGGCGUGCCUAAUACAUGCAAGUCGAGCGAACAGACGAGGAGCUUGCUCCUCUGACGUUAGCGGCGGACGGGUGAGUAACACGUGGAUAACCUACCUAUAAGACUGGGAUAACUUCGGGAAACCGGAGCUAAUACCGGAUAAUAUAUUGAACCGCAUGGUUCAAUAGUGAAAGACGGUUUUGCUGUCACUUAUAGAUGGAUCCGCGCCGCAUUAGCUAGUUGGUAAGGUAACGGCUUACCAAGGCAACGAUGCGUAGCCGACCUGAGAGGGUGAUCGGCCACACUGGAACUGAGACACGGUCCAGACUCCUACGGGAGGCAGCAGUAGGGAAUCUUCCGCAAUGGGCGAAAGCCUGACGGAGCAACGCCGCGUGAGUGAUGAAGGUCUUCGGAUCUUAAAACUCUGUUAUUAGGGAAGAACAAAUGUGUAAGUAACUAUGCUCGUCUUGACGGUACCUAAUCAGAAAGCCACGGCUAACUACGUG
Molecule: ribosomal RNA, 497 nt
Filed under: uncultured bacterium
Lineage: Bacteria
Description: partial 16S ribosomal RNA
Rfam family: Bacterial small subunit ribosomal RNA
Source: RNAcentral